UUUUUGCGUGAGGGAUUGAAGUGGAGCUCUUUAUUUAUUGAGCUUCGUUUGAAAAACGAGACUUAAUAAAUAAAAGCGGGAACGUAAAGCCCGACCCGAA
This 100-nucleotide small RNA is filed under the name Flavobacterium weaverense. RNAcentral's name for it is "Flavo-1 RNA". It matches the Rfam family "Flavo-1 RNA". The record is from RNAcentral. Lineage: Bacteria; Pseudomonadati; Bacteroidota; Flavobacteriia; Flavobacteriales; Flavobacteriaceae.